RNAcentral lists this long non-coding RNA (828 nucleotides) under Fukomys damarensis (Damara mole-rat). RNAcentral describes it as "lncRNA (ENSFDAG00000028567.1)". Lineage: Eukaryota; Metazoa; Chordata; Mammalia; Rodentia; Bathyergidae. The record is from RNAcentral.
GUUUUUUGGGGGGUAUUGGUUACUAUUAGAUUUCCCUUACCCCAAGAACAGUAGCCUCCUUCCCAUAAUGCUCAUUUCCUUAACACAGCUGCCACAUGGAAUAGCAGCCUAUAUGUUAAAUAUGGCUUCUCUUAUGAAGGGACAGCCUACUUCUUCCCAUCAUGCCUCUUUUCCCACCAAAAGAGUAACCUGACACUUGCUACCUCGCCCAACCAGUGAUGUCACAAGCCCCUCCUAGUGAUAUCACAGGCUCCUCCAGUCUCUUAAUGCACCUCACUCAAUUCUAGUCCAGGUCAGGUUAACUCCACCCCGCUCCUAUAAAAGAAGCUCCCUGUUCUGCCAUGCUGCUUUUGCUUUGUAGGAGACAGCUUGGAAGAUCCUCCCCAUAACAAAGCCUUCUUUGGUACCUUAAUCCCACAAGUGUCUGUCACAGUGUCAGAGUCUGACUCUUCUGUCUUCCUCCUGAGUUUAGUGAGUGUUGACCACACUUAGGCAUCAAUCACGGCAAUCACAAAAGUUCCUCCAGUAAGAAAGGUUUCAUCUUAAAUUUUACUUCUACCAGUGUAUAUAUGACACUUUAAUGUGGGUAACCAGGAAGGUAAUUGAAACUGAACUGAAAAUUGUUAAUGUAUCAGUCGGUUCUCUACUUGCUGAGUACCACAACCAUAUUGGAAGAAAAACAGUGAGAAGUAAAGGGGGACCAAGAAGAAGGAAUGAAGAAAGAGAGAUAUUUUAAUGAAAUGGCUCACCUGUGGAAACUGGAAAAUCCAAAAUUUCAAGGUGUGUAACAAUCUAGGGAUUCAGGGAAGAGUUGAUGCUCCAUCUCAA